Molecule: long non-coding RNA, 1185 nt
Organism: Toxorhynchites rutilus septentrionalis
Lineage: Eukaryota; Metazoa; Arthropoda; Insecta; Diptera; Culicidae
Exons: 3
Source: RefSeq, a predicted model, not a curated record
GAAGAUCAAUACUUUCUUAACAUUUUGAACGCCCCGUCACCCAGAUAUGGGAGACACUUUUCUCGUUCAAUUUGAAUAGAAUUUUCAAACGGAAUUUGAUAGAAUAGGCACUUAAAUGUAUGUAUGGGAUAUGUAGAAUAAUCAAAAAAUCAAAAACAUAAAAAUAUAGUUUUUAUACUAUACUUUCAAACGGUUUCAUUUGGUAUGACCUUGUAUGUAUGCAUGUGUAUCUGUAGAGUUGUGCCACAUCGCUCGCUUUCAGAUUUACUAUUACGCCGUCCGGUGAACAUUUUGAGGAUGAAAAAAACACACAUGUGCAUCUUUUUGGACUUUUUGGAAUAAACAGAGGCCUAUCCGAGUUGCGCAAUUAUUAUUCUCAUUCUCAGAAAAAAAACUUGCAACUUGCUUCUUUCAGCUUUUUAUCUACCAAGCGCGAAGAACAAUGAAAACGAAUCACGUGAAAAGUUGGAUUUGCCAAAUGUUAUAUACACUCGACAGAAAAAUUAGGGGAACAGAAUGCGAAGUCGGCAAUUUUAAGGGACUUUUGACAUGCUGUAUCUUCCUGAAAAAUCAACGCAUAUCGAUGGAAGGCGCAUCAUUUUGAAGCUACAACUUUCAGACGUUUUCAAUCACAUCGAACCCACCGUGAUCCGUCAAUUGUCAAAAUAUAAAUCAAAACAAACUCGAAUGCCGAUGAUAUGUAGCCGGAUGUAAUUUUCCGUCAGUGAAGUUUAAGCUUUUAUUGUUGAACGCGGUUUCAAAUUCUUUUCCGUUGCUCUACAGUUUGUACCCUGGAUUGUUAGCAAUCACUGGGAUUCGAGUUGAGAUGCCUCGCAGAUACCAAAGGAAAACGAAUCGAGGGAGUUGGUCCCAGGAGAACCUCACCCUGGCAAAAGAGGCUAUUGCUAAUGGAGUUUACAUCAAACGUGCUUCGACGACUUUUGGAAUACCCAGGUCUACAUUACAUGAUCACGUUUUUCAGAAGGUGGUAAGCUCGAAACUAGGACCAAGAAAGACCGUAUUUGCGGUGGAGCAGGAAGCGGAGAUCAUGCAGCACCUACUUGACCUAGAAAACCGAUUUUAUGGCAUCACGAAAAUUGACGUACGGAAGCUAGCUUUCGAGCUUGCUGAAAGAAAUGGAAUCGCUUGUUCGUAAGUUGUUUUUUAUGAUGUAAGUUGUAUUUA